This 307-nucleotide long non-coding RNA is filed under the name Mytilus galloprovincialis (Mediterranean mussel). The record is from RNAcentral. Lineage: Eukaryota; Metazoa; Mollusca; Bivalvia; Mytilida; Mytilidae.
CUUUUGUUUAUCCGACUGUUAAAUCACUGUACACGAUUUCAGAUAAAUAAACUGUAUGUUCCUCUGUCCAUUGGUCUGUAAAGUUAUUGUGUACACUUCCCUAGAAAUGCUAAAUUCAAUUUGCCAUGCCGUUGCAUCACUCAUCGAUAUUUAGUAAUGGACAGUUAGCCGUCCGUAUUCCUCUGCCAAACUUUCACUGUAUCAAACAUUUUAAAAGGAAAACUUCUCCGUCUUUUGUUUUUUUAUUUCAUUAAUGUAAAGACAACAUUAUCUCGUAAAAAUUAAUUAACAGCACAUUUGAGAUGAC